This 502-nucleotide ribosomal RNA is filed under the name uncultured bacterium. Its description in RNAcentral is "partial 16S ribosomal RNA". It matches the Rfam family "Bacterial small subunit ribosomal RNA", at positions 29 to 507 of the family's 1533-position model. The record is from RNAcentral.
AGCGAACGCUGGCGGCGUGCCUAACACAUGCAAGUCGAACGUGAAAGGGAGCAAUCCCAAGUAAAGUGGCGUACGGGUGAGUAACACGUAGGUAAUCUACCCCAGAAUCUGGAAUAACCGGCCGAAAGGCUGGCUAAUACUGGAUAGAGCGACGGAAUCCGUAAUUGGGUUUUUCGGGAAAGGGAGCCUGUAAAAAGGCCUUCGUUCUGGGAUGAGCCUGCGUCCCAUCAGCUAGUUGGUGAGGUAAAAGCUUACCAAGGCAAUGACGGGUAGCUGGUCUGAGAGGACGAUCAGCCACACUGGGACUGGAACACGGUCCCGACUCCUACGGGAGGCAGCAGUGGGGAAUCUUGCGCAAUGGACGAAAGUCUGACGCAGCAACGCCGCGUGAGUGCAGAAGGCCUUCGGGUUGUAAAGCUCUGUCGAGUGGGACGAAAAUGCUUGGAGUUCACAGCUCCAGGAACUGACGGUACCACUAAAGGAAGCACCGGCUAACUCCGUG